This 254-nucleotide ribosomal RNA is filed under the name uncultured bacterium. RNAcentral describes it as "partial 16S ribosomal RNA". It matches the Rfam family "Bacterial small subunit ribosomal RNA", at positions 524 to 776 of the family's 1533-position model. The record is from RNAcentral.
UACGUAGGGGGCGAGCGUUGUCCGGAUUUAUUGGGCGUAAAGAGCUCGUAGGCGGCUCACUCAGUCAGGUGUGAAACCUCCAGGCUCAACCUGGAGACGCCACCUGAUACUGGUGUGGCUAGAGUCCGGUAGGGGAGCGUGGAAUUCCUGGUGUAGCGGUGAAAUGCGCAGAUAUCAGGAGGAACACCGGUGGCGAAGGCGGCGCUCUGGGCCGGUACUGACGCUGAGGAGCGAAAGCGUGGGGAGCAAACAGG